AAUGCCGGGGCUUUUUUUGAUGGGUGCGCCUGGCGGCGCACGUUUCUAAGUAUCACGGACAGAAAUCUGAUACAAGGCGUACAUGGUGGAUGAGCUGACUUAGGACAGCAAAGUCCAAAAGGCAACCGUAACCCAUGUAUGUAGAUCAGGCAAGUAGACGAGGAAAGACUGGCAG
This is a non-coding RNA of Eubacterium sp. CAG:38, 175 nucleotides long. Lineage: Bacteria; Bacillati; Bacillota; Clostridia; Eubacteriales; Eubacteriaceae. The record is from Rfam.